RNAcentral lists this ribosomal RNA (253 nucleotides) under uncultured bacterium. Its description in RNAcentral is "partial 16S ribosomal RNA". It matches the Rfam family "Bacterial small subunit ribosomal RNA", at positions 524 to 776 of the family's 1533-position model. The record is from RNAcentral.
UACGGAGGGAGCUAGCGUUGUUCGGAAUUACUGGGCGUAAAGCGCGCGUAGGCGGCUUUGUAAGUUAGAGGUGAAAGCCCGGGGCUCAACUCCGGAACUGCCUUUAAGACCGCAUCGCUUGAAUCCGGGAGAGGUGAGUGGAAUUCCGAGUGUAGAGGUGAAAUUCGUAGAUAUUCGGAAGAACACCAGUGGCGAAGGCGGCUCACUGGACCGGUAUUGACGCUGAGGCGCGAAAGCCAGGGGAGCAAACGGG